This 441-nucleotide ribosomal RNA is filed under the name Acetitomaculum ruminis. RNAcentral's name for it is "bacterial SSU rRNA". It matches the Rfam family "Bacterial small subunit ribosomal RNA", at positions 338 to 796 of the family's 1533-position model. The record is from RNAcentral. Lineage: Bacteria; Bacillati; Bacillota; Clostridia; Lachnospirales; Lachnospiraceae.
CCUACGGGAGGCAGCAGUGGGGAAUAUUGCACAAUGGGGGAAACCCUGAUGCAGCAACGCCGCGUGAGUGAAGAAGUAUUUCGGUAUGUAAAGCUCUAUCAGCAGGGAAGAUAAUGACGGUACCUGACUAAGAAGCCCCGGCUAACUACGUGCCAGCAGCCGCGGUAAUACGUAGGGGGCAAGCGUUAUCCGGAUUUACUGGGUGUAAAGGGAGCGCAGGCGGCAGGGCAAGUCAGAUGUGAAAGCCCGGGGCUCAACCCCGGGACUGCAUUUGAAACUGUCCAGCUGGAGUACAGGAGAGGCAGGCGGAAUUCCUAGUGUAGCGGUGAAAUGCGUAGAUAUUAGGAGGAACACCAGUGGCGAAGGCGGCCUGCUGGACUGUAACUGACGCUGAGGCUCGAAAGCGUGGGGAGCAAACAGGAUUAGAUACCCUGGUAGUCC